RNAcentral lists this ribosomal RNA (121 nucleotides) under uncultured bacterium. Its description in RNAcentral is "partial 16S ribosomal RNA". It matches the Rfam family "Bacterial small subunit ribosomal RNA", at positions 1365 to 1482 of the family's 1533-position model. The record is from RNAcentral.
AAUACGUUCCCGGGCCUUGUACACNCCGCCCGUCACACCACGAAAGUCGGCAACACCCGAAGCCGGUGGCCCAACCCCUCGGGGAGGGAGCCGUCGAAGGUGGGGUUGGCCGAUUCGGGUG